UACGGAGGGGGCUAGCGUUGUCCGAAGUUAUUGGGCGUAAAGCGCGCGUAGGCGGGUUGGUAAGUCCGCUGUGAAAGCCCGGAGCUCAACUCCGGAGGGUCGGUGGAUACUGCCAGUCUUGAAGGUGCUAGGGGGAGAUGGAAUUACCGGUGUAGCGGUGAAAUGCGUAGAUAUCGGUAGGAACACCAGUGGCGAAGGCGGUCUCCUGGGGCAUUCUUGACGCUGAGGCGCGAAAGCUGGGGGAGCGAACGGG
RNAcentral lists this ribosomal RNA (253 nucleotides) under uncultured bacterium. Its description in RNAcentral is "partial 16S ribosomal RNA". It matches the Rfam family "Bacterial small subunit ribosomal RNA", at positions 524 to 776 of the family's 1533-position model. The record is from RNAcentral.